GUAAGGUAAGCUACGCUAAGCAGAGGAAAGCUGAGUAAACUAUGCUAAUCUCAGGCAAAAUAACCUAACUAAGCUAAGUCAAGGUAAAGUAUGCUAAGUUAACACAGGCUAACCUAAACCAAGGUAAGCUAAAAUGUUAAAGAUAAAGUAACCUAAACCAAAAUAAGAUAAAUCAAGCAAAAGUAAGCUAAACUACUUUUAACUAAAUAUGAUUAGCUAAUUCAAGGAAAGCUAAGCUAAACCAAACUAAUAUAAUAUAUAAUGAACUAAUAUAGGCUGUGCUAAACUACUGUGAGGUGAGAUCAUUCAACAUAAAAUAAGCUAACUUGGUCAGGAACAUCCAAGUGUGAUUAAGUUUGAUUAAACUUACAUUAAACAAUUAUAUGAAAAACAGCU
Xiphophorus hellerii (green swordtail) is the source of this 396-nucleotide long non-coding RNA. RefSeq lists it as uncharacterized. The transcript has 2 exons. Lineage: Eukaryota; Metazoa; Chordata; Actinopteri; Cyprinodontiformes; Poeciliidae. The record is from RefSeq and is a predicted model, not a curated record.